AUGGCCUCUUGGAAAGGGCCAUGGAACCAGUACUCCUCGAGUGACGACGACAUCUGCAGUCCUGAUGUAAGUGACAAUUCAUGGGGACCGCAAUCCACACCACCCUCUAGCCUCUACAGCUCUGAUGACCUCGAAUAUAUUGAGUUCAUGGAAGGGCCAAAGGAGCCAUCAGAGACCGACUCGGAGGAGGAGCACUCGGAGAACCAUGAAGAAGAUGAUGAUGAUGAGGAGGACGACGAGGAUGUCGAUGACAGUGAUGGCGACGAUGACGACUUUGAUGACAGUGAUAAUGACGACGGCGGCCCCAAGAAGCCGACAGUAAGCGGCAAGAAGUAUCCUCGCCAAUACAAUGGCGCAAAAGUGGCAUCCAAGAAGAAGGAGUAG
Molecule: ribosomal RNA, 384 nt
Filed under: Triticum aestivum (bread wheat)
Lineage: Eukaryota; Viridiplantae; Streptophyta; Magnoliopsida; Poales; Poaceae
Description: partial small subunit ribosomal RNA
Source: RNAcentral